This is a small nucleolar RNA of Balaenoptera ricei (Rice's whale), 135 nucleotides long. RefSeq annotates it as small nucleolar RNA U109. The record is from RefSeq and is a predicted model, not a curated record. NCBI's taxonomy places the organism in Eukaryota, Metazoa, Chordata, Mammalia, Artiodactyla, Balaenopteridae. The transcript has a single exon.
UUGCAUGUGGAAAUGUCUGCUCCUCAUUCCUUUGGAAGCAGUAAUACAUCCAUAACAUGCUACAUUAAAAAAGGAGUUCUCAGGGCUGCCAACCUUACAGUAGAGGUUGAGUAGUAGUAUAUUUCUCCUACAUAA